Molecule: ribosomal RNA, 624 nt
Filed under: uncultured archaeon
Lineage: Archaea
Description: bacterial SSU rRNA
Rfam family: Archaeal small subunit ribosomal RNA
Source: RNAcentral
UGGGCAUAAUUCUUGAUAGAUCAUAAUGCCUGGAAUGGUUUAUGGUUAAAAUGAUUCGUCGCCAUAGGAUGGGACUGCGGCCUAUCAGCUUGUUGGUGAGGUAAUGGCCCACCAAGGCGAUUACAGGUACGGGCUCUGAGAGGAGAAGCCCGGAGAUGGGUACUGAGACACGGACCCAGGCCCUAUGGGGCGCAGCAGGCGAGAAAACUUUGCAAUGUGCGAAAGCACGACAAGGUUAAUCCGAGUGAUUUCUGCUAAAGAAAUCUUUUGCCAGUCAUAAAACCACUGGUGAAUAAGGGGUGGGCAAGUUCUGGUGUCAGCCGCCGCGGUAAAACCAGCACCUCAAGUGGUCAGGAUGAUUAUUGGGCCUAAAGCAUCCGUAGCCGGCUUUGUUAGUUUUCGGUUAAAUCCAUGUGCUCAACGCAUGGGCUGCCGAAAAUACUGCAUAGCUAGGGAGUGGGAGAGGUAGACGGUACUCAGUAGGAAGGGGUAAAAUCCUUUGAUCUAUUGAUGACCACCUGUGGCGAAGGCGGUCUACCAGAACACGUUCGACGGUGAGGGAUGAAAGCUGGGGGAGCAAACCGGAUUAGAUACCCGGGUAGUCCCAGCUGUAAACGAUGCAGA